This 732-nucleotide long non-coding RNA is filed under the name Capsicum annuum. Its description in RNAcentral is "long non-coding RNA (CANN_LNC012902)". The record is from RNAcentral. Lineage: Eukaryota; Viridiplantae; Streptophyta; Magnoliopsida; Solanales; Solanaceae.
UUAAGGGUGGCUAUCAUAAGGGUGCAUAAUUGAAGAUGGUAUGAAGAAAGGUGUUGAAUAAAAGAAAAAAAAUAGGAUUGGGUGUGGUAGAAAAGUUUGGAAAAAAGAAAGAAAGAAAAAAAAUAGAAAAACAAGUGAUAAAUGCAAAGACAGAAAAAACCACACCCAAGUCAAACAGCAAUGAAGGAGAAAAAUGGAUAACAAAAGAAGAAUGGUUAAGUAGUGGAGCCAAUAAUGUAAGUGUAGUGUCAUAGAGAGUGACUCACUAUUUUCCAUAUGUACCAUACCUGCUCCUAAGCCUGCAUACAAGACGGGAAAAGUCCUAUAGUGAUCCCAGUCCAAAUGUUCGAAAAACUAUGAUAUAGAAAAUAAGAGCAAGCCUAUAGUAUUUUAUGCACAUUAUUUAAAAUUCGUUGUGAGCUUGAGUGUUUUGAUAUAGUCCCUCUAUUGAUAUGCGUUAUGACAAUAUGACAGUUGGGAAUUUCUUGUACUAAGGGUACAUCGAUUGUACUGUUAACUACUUAUUUGUUCGAGUAGUGUAGAUUGCAUAAUGCUUGACUGUUUGUUGCAUGUUGCAUUAAUGAGGUCUAAGUCUAUUUUGGUUUUGCUUGCAUGGUAAGAUCAGAAUUAAGUACCUUUUAUUAUCACGGGACAUAGAAGUGGAUGGGAUGUGUAUGUCUUGCCAUACGGAGGCUAAGACGGAUUCAGAUAUAGUAGUUAAUAGAUAAAAAU